GCCUUCGUGGUGUAGUGGUCAGCACGCUCGACGCGUAACCGAGAGGUCCGUGGUUCGAUUCCCGGUGAAGGCU
Molecule: transfer RNA, 73 nt
Filed under: Stegodyphus mimosarum
Lineage: Eukaryota; Metazoa; Arthropoda; Arachnida; Araneae; Eresidae
Rfam family: tRNA
About the family: Transfer RNA (tRNA) molecules are approximately 80 nucleotides in length. Their secondary structure includes four short double-helical elements and three loops (D, anti-codon, and T loops).
Source: Rfam by way of RNAcentral